GAUGAACGCUGGCGGCGUGCCUAAUACAUGCAAGUCGAGCGAACGGACGAGAAGCUUGCUUUUCUGAUGUUAGCGGCGGACGGGUGAGUAACACGUGGAUAACCUACCUAUAAGACUGGGAUAACUUCGGGAAACCGGAGCUAAUACCGGAUAAUAUUUUGAACCGCAUGGUUCAAAAGUGAAAGACGGUCUUGCUGUCACUUAUAGAUGGAUCCGCGCUGCAUUAGCUAGUUGGUAAGGUAACGGCUUACCAAGGCAACGAUGCAUAGCCGACCUGAGAGGGUGAUCGGCCACACUGGAGCUGAGACACGGUCCAGACUCCUACGGGAGGCAGCAGUAGGGAAUCUGCCGCAAUGGGCGAAAGCCUGACGGAGCAACGCCGCGUGAGUGAUGAAGGUCUGCGGAUCGUAAAACUCUGUUAUUAGGGAAGAACAUAUGUGUAAGUAACUGUGCACAUCUUGACGGUACCUAAUCAGAAAGCCACGGCUAACUACGG
RNAcentral lists this ribosomal RNA (496 nucleotides) under uncultured bacterium. Its description in RNAcentral is "partial 16S ribosomal RNA". It matches the Rfam family "Bacterial small subunit ribosomal RNA", at positions 28 to 506 of the family's 1533-position model. The record is from RNAcentral.